Molecule: ribosomal RNA, 253 nt
Filed under: uncultured bacterium
Lineage: Bacteria
Description: partial 16S ribosomal RNA
Rfam family: Bacterial small subunit ribosomal RNA
Source: RNAcentral
UACGUAGGGUGCGAGCGUUAAUCGGAAUUACUGGGCGUAAAGCGUGCGCAGGCGGUUCGUUAAGUCAGCUGUGAAAGCCCCGGGCUCAACCUGGGAAUUGCGGUUGAAACUGGCGAACUAGAAUCUGGCAGAGGGGGGUGGAAUUCCACGUGUAGCAGUGAAAUGCGUAGAUAUCGAGAGGAACACCUGCGGCGAAGGCGGGUUGCUGGGCUGAUACUGACGCUGAGGCGCGAAAGCCAGGGGAGCGAACGGG